This 72-nucleotide transfer RNA is filed under the name Camelus bactrianus (Bactrian camel). It matches the Rfam family "tRNA". Rfam says of the family: Transfer RNA (tRNA) molecules are approximately 80 nucleotides in length. Lineage: Eukaryota; Metazoa; Chordata; Mammalia; Artiodactyla; Camelidae. The record is from Rfam by way of RNAcentral. RNAcentral also lists the same sequence under 2 other names.
AAGGAUAUAGCUGAGUGGAAGAGUGUGUGCUUAGCAUGCAUGAGGUCCUGGGUUCAAUCCCCAGUACCUCUG